AGCGGCGGACGGGUGAGUAACGCAUGGGUAACCUGCCUCAUACAGGGGGAUAACAGUUGGAAACGGCUGCUAAUACCGCAUAAGCGCACAGUACCGCAUGGUACGGUGUGAAAAACUCCGGUGGUAUGAGAUGGACCCGCGUCUGAUUAGGUAGUUGGUGGGGUAACGGCCUACCAAGCCGACGAUCAGUAGCCGACCUGAGAGGGUGACCGGCCACAUUGGGACUGAGACACGGCCCAA
Molecule: ribosomal RNA, 240 nt
Filed under: uncultured bacterium
Lineage: Bacteria
Description: partial 16S ribosomal RNA
Rfam family: Bacterial small subunit ribosomal RNA
Source: RNAcentral